GUUUGAGCCUUUCUUUCUCAUAGGGCGGAGGGAAGCUCAUCGGUGGGGCUACGAGCUGAGUGCGUGAUGUCACUCUGUAGCACGUCCCUUGGGAAGGUCUGAGACUGGGGCCAGUGGCGGUCCUAACAGGGCCCUCCCUGAACCGCGGGGAGGUGAGUUCCCAGAGAGCGGGGCUCCGCGCAAGGGCAGACUGGGCAGGAGAUGCCGAGUAUCUCGCCCUCGGGAGGGGCUCGGCGGAUGCCUCCUUAGCCGGAGCUUGGAACAGACUCACGGCCAGCAAAGUGAGUUCAAUGGCUGAGGUGAGGCACCCGGCCCGGGGCCUCAUAACCCAAUUCAGACUACUCUCCCCCGUCCUCUUUUAGAACCAGGCCUGAGCUCACGGUUCUCCCUUCCACACGACGAGUCCAAUAGAAUGCUAGUAACCUGCGCAAUGGGAAGGGGAGAGAAAUCAAGCAAAGGGGGAUGGAGGAGGAGGAAGUGAAGGAUUUUUCAAGAUGUGUUAGUGUGCAGGAGAAUUAGUAAGUGAGGAAGGACUACCGGGUGCCAGAAACGUGGGGCAUGGAGCUGGAGAGGAAGCCGGGCGCAACAAGAAAGCAGGUUUCUUCACCUCCUUACCUCGCUUACCUUUACAGGACUUAAAGGCCAGUAUUCAAAAAUAAAAACUUGAAAACUCUUUAGCAGAAAACUAUGUAAAUAUUUUCAAUUUUGAAGUCUGUAAAUUUCUUAAAACACAAAAAAUUUCAAUUGUAUUACUUAAAAUUUUGUUCAAAAGAUGUAAAGUUUAAGAAGAAAAAGUUAUUUGUAAUACGAAAAAGUUAUUAUGAAUAUUUUAAAAAUCUAGAAGAAACUAAAAUGUCAUGCAUGCCCUGAGCAAGACCUUCUCAGCAAAUAGGCUGUUCUCAGGAAACAGAAAACCCCAACCAGACUAUGCCUCUCUCCGCUGGUAAACAGAACAGAUGUCCAUAAAGAAGACUUAGGACCAGACACACAAUCUCUCUGUUGCAGAGAAGUCCAGCAUUGUCUGCACAUCUGUACUGACCAUCCUGGGAACUCUGACCCCAAGCAUUCCAUCCAUAUUCUUUGAGAUUCUUCAAAUCCUAUAAAAACUUAAUUUUCUCUGGUAGAGCCACUGAAAUCAUUCAUGAUCUCAGCCUUAUUUGCACCUAGGUAAAAUAAACCCAGAACUUUUCUCACAUAAAACCUCUCUCCAGGUAGUUUCUUGUGCAUUAUUAAUAAUAUAAACAUUUUAACUUAAUAUGCUAAGGCAAGACUGAUAUAAACAUAUUUUACAUAUUUUAUAAAUAUAACUCAAGCAAUCAAAAUUUUAGAAAAAGUACUGAAAGAAUUUUGCCCCAAAUGAGAUGCUGUAGCGGUGGGAGGCUGAGAGGCAAAAGGUCAUCUUCCCCACCCCUAAGCAAUUUAUCUGUGGCACGAAAUGAAUUCCAAUGGACUACCUGUGCAUCAGUAAUGCCCCGUAGGUACCACCCAAGACCUAAGCUAUAUAUAUGCCCCCACACCACGUGUCCCACAGAGAGAAAGCCAGACCCCGGAGGUCAUGGAGUCUCUCUGCAUUCUUAAAAUAAAGGCCACUUUUAUUUCAUAUUAUCUUUUUAGCCACGCCGAAAAUUCUAUCAAGUACCAUUCAUUAUAACCUCAAGGCAUAUCAAGAACUUGAAAACUAAAUCUGACAAAAGACUUAAGCUGUACACCUACCCAAGAUAAAAACCAAAUGUCUUGUGACUAUGGAGGAGGAGACAGAUACCUUCCACUGUGGGCCAGAUCCCCAGACAAAAGGCUAAACUGGGCCCUCACACCCCACAGGGAGACCUUCUUAGUGUACAUUUCAUAUUUUCAACAACAGAGAUACAAAUCAAAAGGAAAAAUAACAAUCUGAUCUUUUAUCAGUGACACUUGGAGCUCUAAGACAGGUAAACCAAGACAAGGUGGAGCUGCCUGAGCCCCUCCUGGACCAUGCUUCAAGUGCAACAAAGAAGGACAUUGGACAAGAGAGUGCCCCAACCUUAGUGUUCUUCUGGGGCCUUGCCCUUACUGAAGUCUCAAGGGCCAUUGGAAGAGCAACUGUCCUAGCCACCAAAGAGUGGGUAAGCCAUCCUCUAACUCCUUGCCCUCAUGGGAGAUCUUAUCACUUCUGGAUUCAUUGCUGACUGAUCUACUCAGACUUGCUGCUGAAGACUGAUGAGGCUCAGGGUCCUCAGCCCUCCAUUAAAAUAUCUUUAUCAGAGCCCCAAGUCCCACUGGAGGUCUCAGGAUGGAUAAAAGCCUUUCCCACAACCAGGGAGACUGCUGAUAUAUUUACUAAAGUCCUGUUACAGAAAAUCAUCCCAAGGACUACAACUAAAAUGGAGUGGCCCCUACCCAGUCUUCCUCAGAACUUCAAGGGUGGUCAAAGUUGCUGGACUGCCAUCCUGGUUCCAUAUCACUCAAGCUAAGCAGUGCCCUCCUAACCCUGUCUCCCCUGACCCUACACAUGCUGAGAGGUCAUCUCAUCUUCUAUCUCCCAUCUGUGUCCAUCUCCCCAAGGCCUCACAGCCACAACUCUCAGGCUAAGUCAUGUUUUGUUAUCCAAUUUGGUUCCUAAUCCCUUAUAUUCUAUUAGUUAAUUAUUUUGUACAGCAGGACUCUUGACAGUCUUUCCAAAGACUCCCGCGUCAUGCAUAAAAUCAUCUUCAUGUUCCUCUACGUGACAAUUGUCUUAGUUCUCUCUGCCCCCAAUUGUUUAGUUAAAUAUGAGAUCCCUGUGGGUUUAGGCUCUUAGCUCCCUUAUAGUGACACAGCCACAGUCCUCCCUCCUCUACUGUUAUUUCCCAAAUAUGAUUCCAUCAGGCCUUAUGUUUCUCAUGCCUCUUAUUCUUUCCAGCUCAACUCCUGGACCAGAGACAAGCCCUACCUACCUACAUUUUUAACUUUUACCCUUUAAGAUGGGGGAAUAACCACCUCUCAUAACUUCACUCCUCCUCCUAACCCCACACUUAUUUUUCAGAAUUCUACCUCACCAUGGUCCUGAUGGAAUGGCAUAUUUAAAUCAAAGACACCUUUCCUUCUACCUCUCCUGAGUCCUUAAAUAUGAUAGUGGCCUGCCUCCUCAUAGCACCUUGUCUCUUUGUUUUACCAAUCCAGUAUGUGAGCAUUCACCAAUGAUUAAUUCCUUGUCUUGCCUGAAACACCUGGUACCAGCUUCUACAUGGGCACAAACCAUCCUGUCAACCUUCCUAAACCCCAAUAGGGCACCCCUUUCAGCAGAAAAUAAUAAAACAGUAAGUAAAAUAGUAAGAGAGACUUUGCCCUUUUCCUAACAAUAAAAAGACAGGAAUGAAAGUUUCUUGCUCUAGAAUACAUUUAAAUUACUGUAUGUUUAUGGCAGUGGUCUAACGUGGUGGAAGGCCAAAGUGGAAACACCUAACACUUCCUGCUUCUUCUUCUGCCUUAAUUGCAACUCCCCUUCCUGUCUGCACACGAAGAAAAUUCCAAUCAGCUCCUUGCACAUAAUUAGUGACCACCCUAAGUGCCAACUCCAGUCAGAAGUUAUAUGUAGUUCCCAUACCCCAUGUUCCAGUAGAUGUGGCUAAACCAUCUAUGGUCCUGGACUCCCCUCCACAUCCUUGGAAUAAAGGCUAUUUUUACUUUA
Cavia porcellus (domestic guinea pig) is the source of this 3646-nucleotide long non-coding RNA. RefSeq lists it as uncharacterized. The record is from RefSeq and is a predicted model, not a curated record. The transcript has 4 exons. NCBI's taxonomy places the organism in Eukaryota, Metazoa, Chordata, Mammalia, Rodentia, Caviidae.